This 228-nucleotide ribosomal RNA is filed under the name uncultured bacterium. RNAcentral's name for it is "partial 16S ribosomal RNA". It matches the Rfam family "Bacterial small subunit ribosomal RNA", at positions 103 to 334 of the family's 1533-position model. The record is from RNAcentral.
CGGGUGAGUAAUGUAUGGGGAUCUGCCUGAUGGCGGGGGAUAACUACUGGAAACGGUAGCUAAUACCGCAUAAUGUCUGCGGACCAAAGCGGGGGACCUCCGGGCCUCGCGCCAUCAGAUGAACCCAUAUGGGAUUAGCCAGUAGGUAAGGUAACGGCUUACCUAGGCGACGAUCCCUAGCUGGUCUGAGAGGAUGAUCAGCCACACUGGGACUGAGACACGGCCCAG